Long non-coding RNA from Humulus lupulus (European hop), 197 nucleotides. RefSeq lists it as uncharacterized. The record is from RefSeq and is a predicted model, not a curated record. The transcript is spliced from 3 exons. NCBI's taxonomy places the organism in Eukaryota, Viridiplantae, Streptophyta, Magnoliopsida, Rosales, Cannabaceae.
CCAAACAUCCAAAGAUUACCUAUGCUGAUCUUUACCAGCUUGCUGGGGUUGUUGCUGUUGAGGUCACUGGAGGUCCAACUAUUGACUUUGUUCCAUGAACAAUCUUCAAAUAAUCAGGUCCACCUCCAGGUCCACCGCCAUACGCUUCGUCUUGGAGGCCUGAGUCCAGUUCGUCUGAAUUCCCUCCUGUGUAGGUU